UGGAGAAGGUUCUUAUAAAAUAUAUAAGAUGAUUGAAUGUCUAAUUGUGGGCCUUAGUAAAAUUGUUCACAAACAUAUUAACUAUAACAAAUGUUUAGAACAGAUCCAAGAUGCUAAUGAAAAUCUGGCUGUGUUUAGCUUAGGGACACCUUAAUUAAGUUUAUGAAUGUAAACUCAGACUCUCAUGAAGGGAUGAUUGUUGUUAACUCUUAUUUUAUUUCUCAGUCUGCUCCUAAUAUUUGUGCAAAGUUACAAAAGGCUGAACAUGGUCCUCAAACCCAACAAGGAGACCUUCUUAAUACAGUUUUCUAUGUUUUCAACAACAGAGAAAAAACUCAAAAAGAGGCACAAAAAAAAAAAAAAGAAAUUUGCUAAAUAUCAAUCUGAUCCUUUAGCAGUGGCACUUGGAGCUCCCAACACAGGAAAGCCAAAACAAGGCAGAGCUGCCUGAGUCCCUCCCAGACCAUGCUUCAAGUGCAACAAAGGACACUGGGAGAUGCCAUCACCACCAGAUUCAUCACUGCCUGAUCUAUUCAGGCUUGCUGCUGAAGAUUGACAGAGCUCGGGGCCCACAGUCCCCAUUAAGGUAUCCUUCUCGGAGUCUCACUAGAGGUCUCAGUCUAAAUGCGGGCAUUCACCAAUCAUGAAGUUGUCCUGGCUGAAACACCUGGUACCAGCUUCUGCAUGGGCAUCAACCAUCAUCCCGUCAACCUUCCUAAACCCCAAUAUAGUGCCCCCUCUCAGCAGGAAAUAAUAAGAGAGAGACUUCACUCUUUUCCUAACAAUAAAAAGAUAGGAAUGAAAGGAUUUUGCCCUAGAAUAAGUUACUCAGUAUUACAGCAGUGGGAGGGGGAGCCAAGGGAUGUUUACCUUGAGGUUACUUCCUCCUUCCCCUAUGAGAACUUCCUUUUUCCUUUCCCAGUGGUGUGAAAAAGGUCCCAAUCAGCUGCUUUCGUGUCAUCAAUGCCCACCCUAAGCACCACCCCCAGUCAGAGGUUAUAUGUAUAUCCCAUACUGCACAUUAAGAUCAGAAGAGGCCCAGACCAUCUGUGGUCACUGGACUCUUCUCCACAUCCUUGGA
Cavia porcellus (domestic guinea pig) is the source of this 1081-nucleotide long non-coding RNA. RefSeq lists it as uncharacterized. The record is from RefSeq and is a predicted model, not a curated record. NCBI's taxonomy places the organism in Eukaryota, Metazoa, Chordata, Mammalia, Rodentia, Caviidae. The transcript is spliced from 3 exons.